AUGAGCAGAGCAGCCUCCCAGGACAGGGCGGUGACGAUGUCGAGCCAGCCCUCGCCGCUGUCGUCUUCCCGUGGCAAGGAGAUGCCGGCGGACGCUAGGAACCGGGUGGUGAGCAUCUUGAGCUGCCUGUCCAUGGCCUUGAGCAUCCCCGUGUGCCGCUCCUCCCUGGGGCUAGGACUCGGGCUGGGUUCAGAGUCACUGGAGCUCGGCUGCCCCCAACUGAUACCAUCAUGCCAUUCAUCAUCAUCGUCGUCGUCGUCAUCAUCAUCAUUUGUGUGCACAUCCAAAUGUUUGGUAUCAUCAUCGUUGCUGGCCGCCUCUGGCGGCACCCAGACGGCAUCACCCUCCUCGGCGCCGGUGAAUUCAGCGGCACCGUCAGAGUCGUCGGCAUGCUUGGCGGUUGCUUGGUACGCCGGCAGCAGGAAAUGGACACGGUUGUGUUUACCGUCGACGCUGCCCUCCCUGCAACAGCAGAUACAGAUACAGAUACAUGUAUAUUAUCACCUCAGAACCAAACAUAUAUAG
This 525-nucleotide ribosomal RNA is filed under the name Triticum aestivum (bread wheat). Its description in RNAcentral is "partial small subunit ribosomal RNA". Lineage: Eukaryota; Viridiplantae; Streptophyta; Magnoliopsida; Poales; Poaceae. The record is from RNAcentral.